Molecule: non-coding RNA, 165 nt
Filed under: uncultured Clostridium sp.
Lineage: Bacteria; Bacillati; Bacillota; Clostridia; Eubacteriales; Clostridiaceae
Description: Lysine riboswitch
Rfam family: Lysine riboswitch aptamer
About the family: Riboswitches are metabolite binding domains within certain messenger RNAs that serve as precision sensors for their corresponding targets. Allosteric rearrangement of mRNA structure is mediated by ligand binding, and this results in modulation of gene expression. This family includes riboswitches that sense lysine in a number of genes involved in lysine metabolism, including lysC.
Source: RNAcentral
AGGUAGAGGAGCAAAAACCAUUACUAUUAAUAUGGAGAGUAAGCAUCUUUGAAAUAUUAAAAAAGGGGAUUUUGCCGAAGUAUAUAAGAUUGCUUGAAUUUUAUAUAGCUGGGAUUGUAUAGAAUAUAUAUAAUACUGUCACAAUAUAGUUGUGGGGUGCUAUCA